Molecule: ribosomal RNA, 445 nt
Filed under: uncultured bacterium
Lineage: Bacteria
Description: bacterial SSU rRNA
Rfam family: Bacterial small subunit ribosomal RNA
Source: RNAcentral
UACGGGAGGCAGCAGGGGGAAUAUUGCACAAUGGGCGCAAGCCUGAUGCAGCCAUGCCGCGUGUAUGAAGAAGGCCUUCGGGUUGUAAAGUACUUUCAGUCGUGAGGAAGGUGUUAAGGUUAAUAACCUUAGCAAUUGACGUUAGCGACAGAAGAAGCACCGGCUAACUCCGUGCCAGCAGCCGCGGUAAUACGGAGGGUGCGAGCGUUAAUCGGAAUUACUGGGCGUAAAGGGCACGCAGGCGGUUAAUUAAGUUGGAUGUGAAAUCCCCGGGCUUAACCUGGGAAUGGCAUUCAAGACUGGUUAGCUAGAGUCUUGUAGAGGGGGUAGAAUUCCAUGUGUAGCGGUGAAAUGCGUAGAGAUGUGGAGGAAUACCGGUGGCGAAGGCGGCCCCUGGACAAAGACUGACGCUCAUGUGCGAAAGCGUGGGGAGCAAACUCGGAGU